RNAcentral lists this transfer RNA (65 nucleotides) under Novaculina chinensis. RNAcentral describes it as "tRNA-Leu". The record is from RNAcentral. Lineage: Eukaryota; Metazoa; Mollusca; Bivalvia; Adapedonta; Pharidae.
AUUGAUGUGGCAGAAAAUAUGCACUAGGCUUAAAACUUAGGGAUAAGGUUUUACCUUCUUCAAUA